UACGAAGGGGGCUAGCGUUGCUCGGAAUCACUGGGCGUAAAGCGCACGUAGGCGGAUCUUUAAGUCAGGGGUGAAAUCCUGGAGCUCAACUCCAGAACUGCCUUUGAUACUGAGGAUCUCGAGUCCGGGAGAGGUGAGUGGAACUGCGAGUGUAGAGGUGAAAUUCGUAGAUAUUCGCAAGAACACCAGUGGCGAAGGCGGCUCACUGGCCCGGUACUGACGCUGAGGUGCGAAAGCGUGGGGAGCAACAGG
This 252-nucleotide ribosomal RNA is filed under the name uncultured bacterium. Its description in RNAcentral is "partial 16S ribosomal RNA". It matches the Rfam family "Bacterial small subunit ribosomal RNA", at positions 524 to 775 of the family's 1533-position model. The record is from RNAcentral.